RNAcentral lists this ribosomal RNA (491 nucleotides) under uncultured bacterium. RNAcentral's name for it is "partial 16S ribosomal RNA". It matches the Rfam family "Bacterial small subunit ribosomal RNA", at positions 29 to 506 of the family's 1533-position model. The record is from RNAcentral.
AGUGAACGCUGGCGGUAGGCCUAACACAUGCAAGUCGAACGGCAGCACAGUAAGAGCUUGCUCUUACGGGUGGCGAGUGGCGGACGGGUGAGGAAUACAUCGGAAUCUACUUUUUCGUGGGGGAUAACGUAGGGAAACUUACGCUAAUACCGCAUACGACCUACGGGUGAAAGCAGGGGAUCUUCGGACCUUGCGCGAUUGAAUGAGCCGAUGUCGGAUUAGCUAGUUGGCGGGGUAAAGGCCCACCAAGGCGACGAUCCGUAGCUGGUCUGAGAGGAUGAUCAGCCACACUGGAACUGAGACACGGUCCAGACUCCUACGGGAGGCAGCAGUGGGGAAUAUUGGACAGUGGGCGCAAGCCUGAUCCAGCCAUACCGCGUGGGUGAAGAAGGCCUUCGGGUUGUAAAGCCCUUUUGUUGGGAAAGAAAAGCAGCAGGUUAAUACCCCGCUGUUCUGACGGUACCCAAAGAAUAAGCACCGGCCAACUUCGU